GUGAGUCAUCGAAUCUUUGAACGCACCUUGCACCCUUUGGCAUUCCGAAGGGUAUGCCUGUUUGAGUAUCAUGAAAUUCUCAACUCUCCUCAGAUUUCAUCUGUAUGGUGAGCUUGGACUUGGAGGUCUUCUGCUGGCGUUCGCCGGCUCCUCUUGAAAUCAUUAGCCUUGAGUUGAUCUCGAUGGCCUGACCGGUGUGAUAAACAUCUACGCCGAUUCGUGCCGUCCUGAGCGACGACGUCGGAGACGCUCUGGCUUAUAACCGUCCAUCAACGGACGACUCUCUGAACUUUUGAUCUCAAAUCAGGUAAGACUACCCGCUGAACUUAAGCAUAUCAAUAAGCGGAGG
Molecule: ribosomal RNA, 349 nt
Filed under: uncultured Tomentella
Lineage: Eukaryota; Fungi; Basidiomycota; Agaricomycetes; Thelephorales; Thelephoraceae
Description: eukaryotic LSU rRNA
Rfam family: 5.8S ribosomal RNA (bases 1-71)
Source: RNAcentral